AUAGCGUGAGGGCAAAAGAAUAGCACGCAGGCGCUGGAACGGAGAAGAAAACUGGCAGAUCAGUGGCGUGGGUGGCUUCGGUGAAGAAGCAGGGCUGUGUAGGUCUCGGUUUAGGGGGCUGAAUCGUGACGCCGUGAGUCUCAGUGUAGAGGACUGUGACUCGCCGCCGUGUGUCUCAGCUCAGCGGCGGUUUGAGCGUCGUUGUGGGCGUCAGUUCCAUUUGCUUGGAAGCUUUAAGAUAUCGAUUACAGGGGCAGCCAGAAAUGGGUCCUUUUUAAGAUGAAAUCGACGGUAACCUUGAUGUUAACAAUCGGUGGAGAUUGUGGUUAGCUUUCAGGGGAAUCUGAUUCUCAGUUUGUGUGGGUUAAUUGCUUCAUUGUAUCUCUGUAUUAACGACUUGAUGCUCUUACACUGUAAGUGGAGACUGCUGUCUGCUAGGAAUGUUCUGCAUUACUCGUACACUAAUAGCAUUACAUCCGUCCCAGUUGGUAACCCUCAAAACUGGCUGCUUUAUGCCAUCAGACGCUUUGGCCAUCAGCCAUCUACUACCAAUAUCUCUCCUGAUGAAGAGAAGGUGGAGGAUGAAGUCUUAAAUCAGAUUACUGCCACAAGGGAAAAUGCCUCGAUGUGUAGCCACGAAACCUUCGACAUUUGCAUCGAUAAGAUGUGUAGAUCAGACAAUCUUACAGCUGCUGCUCAACUACUUAAAUCAUCAUGUGAUAGGAAAAUAUCUCUUAGCUCCUCCAAGGCAUAUGAUAUGGUUUUGCUUGCAGCAAGUGAAAGAGGAGACACUACCCUUUUAUGUCAAGUAUUUAAAGAUUCUCUUGUUUCCCGUAAACCGUUGAGUUCGACCUCGUACAUGAAUUUUGCCAAGGCCUUUGCCAGGACAGAUGAUAGUAGCAAGCUACUGGAAUAUGUCAAAGAAAUAAUCGAGAUGACGUUUCCAAACUUCCUGGUCAUAAACAGAAUAAUCUUCGCCUUCUCCGAAUGUAGGGAGAUUGAUAAAGCCCUUCAGAUAUUUAAUCAGAUGAAGCUUCUGUCAUAUAGACCAGAUUUGUACACAUAUAACAUCAUUUUGGAUGCGCUAGGUCGUGCAGGUCGAAUGGAUGAAAUUCUUCAUAUGUUUGUUUCCAUGAAAGAAGAUGGCAUCGCCCCGGAUAUUGUGUCGUAUAAUACAUUAAUAAAUAGCUUAAGGAAGGUGGGUAGACUAGAUAUGUGCUUGAUUUACUUCAGGGAAAUGGUUGCAAUGAGAAUUGAACCUGAUUUGCUUACUUAUACUGCUUUGAUAGAGAGUUUUGGUCGAUCUGGAAACGUCGAGGAGGCUUUAACACUCCUCAGGGAGAUGAAGCUUAAGCAUAUCCGACCUUCGAGCUAUAUCUACAAGUCUCUCAUUAGUAAUUCAAUGAAGAUUGGGAAGGUGGAGUUGGCUAUGAACCUUCUCAAGGAGAUGAAAUUAAGUUAUUCAAAACUUGCUGGUCCAAAGGAUUUCAAACGAAAAAGAAGUUAACCAAUUACAAGGCUUUUCAUGGUGACUUUCAGGCUGAUAAACCUGUGGAUGGCUUUAAUCUUCAAACUGAGAUUUUCCAGAAUUACUGCUGUCUGUAGUAUGUAUGCUUCAGAGGGACAGAGUUCGGGAUUCAAAUCUAUAUCCAUAAAUACCAUAUCUUGACUCGAGCCAACUCAAUAAGGAAAACAUGACAUAAAGAAAGCUCAGAAUCUGUUUUUUUUUAUCUGGGUAAAGCUGCUUCUCUCCUUCCCCUCGUAACCUCGGUAGAGCUGCAGAGAUUACCUCGUUCCCUUAGGUUUGUUUGCUCUUGAACCUUUGACUCUUUUUCCUGACUUGAUUUCACGAGAUAAAGCAGUUGAGGAUUGCAACGUAUUUGACCUGGAAUUGAGGGACGAAGACGAAGAUGAAGAAUUGAUUGAUAACUUGAAAAUUAUUUGGGAGGACCGGUUUGUUGGUUUGAGAGAAUUGUACAGAGAAUGGGUAUGAAGAAACAGUUUCCUUGAGUGAACAGAAAAUC
Molecule: RNA transcript, 2024 nt
Organism: Cucurbita moschata (crookneck pumpkin)
Lineage: Eukaryota; Viridiplantae; Streptophyta; Magnoliopsida; Cucurbitales; Cucurbitaceae
Gene name: pentatricopeptide repeat-containing protein At1g11900-like
Exons: 3
Source: RefSeq, a predicted model, not a curated record